UGGACCGCUGAAGUCAGGUGACCUGCACCUUCCUUGAACAUGUUGGUAACUUACUCUGUAUUUGUUCACGGUGGUCACCCCAGGGUCUCAGGACUUAAAACGAGUGCUCUAUGGAUUGAACAGAAAAUGUAGUAUAAACAAGUGUGGAUCAACACUCCAACCAUCUGCAUUAGGGACUGAAUAAAGGAUGCCCUCUGUAGCUGGGAAUGUUAGAUCAGGCGGAUCAACAUUCCAUCCAUCUGCAUUAGGAUCUACCUUAGAGACACUCACUGGAGCUGUAAAGGGAAGCAGGUCACUUACUUUUCAUUCGUCCUUGGUGGUCACCCCAGGGUCUCUAGAGUGAAAAUUACUCAAUCUAUGUAUUAAACAGAAAAUGUAGUUUUAUGAAGUGCAAUUUGGGAUAUUCUUCCAGUUGUCGGCAACUUUGUGAAAAAGGCUGGAAACUAAAAUGCAGAAUUCUGGCCUGGUGUUUGGUCCGUGCUGUCUUUGGCUCUUGCAUCUCCAUCAUCCUGACCCUCUUUAGCAGCCUGUCCAUGUAUUUAUUUGGAGGCCACCAUGAGCACCCAUCUGCAUAAUAUGACUUUGUUACUCAGUUGUCCAUGCUCCUACAAAUUCUACAUUUUUUGUAAAGCUGCAACAAGUUGAAACCCUAUAAUUAUUAACAUUUGAUUUUGAAUUAUGUAAUUCAAAUACAUGAAUAAGUAACAAAAGCAGAAAUAUAUUAAGACAUUACCUUUUUGUUGAUUGUUUACUGAUCUAUAAAUCCUUUUGCAUUCUCAUAAUUGAUCAUCAUAACUUGGUAUACAGUGGAUGUGUGGCUGUAGAUAACUUUCUGAAGUCAAUUUAAAAAGGCAAAAGUUAAUAAAUGCUAAAUUGGUCAAAUAUACAUUGUUGUAUUUUCACCAUUUUGAUCUUAUUUAGGCAUUUCAUAACUUGAGGGAAAUUUACGUAUACUGAUGUUUCAAAUCAAAUAUUAAUUUAUUAAUGACAGCUAAUCAUUUAUAAAGAUUUUUUAUAACAAUAUGUAUUUAUAUAAUAUCAAUUUAAUACAUUUAUUUCGUUACACCUACAUCACUGAGCGCAAGGGAGUGCAGCCAACAAAUACAUUCAGGUGUGUUUGACUUAACACCGAGAUGCGCAGACAGCACGUGGUAUGACAUCAAGUACCGCGAGAGUUUGGGAAAGCCCCGGAAAAGGUUUGAACUCGCGGUACUUGAUGUCACGAUCGGUUUGCGCGUAGAUCAGCAUGAAGUCAAAACACACAUCUGAGAGAUGUGUGGGCUGCCUGCACUCAGCUUCUGGGUCUCGUGUAGAACGAUUUUUUGUUCUUUUCCAACUCGAUUUUUACCUCCCUAAACUAGUAGGAUGUUCCAACGGGUGAAGCAACAGUGCUGACGGCAGUUUCAGUGUCAAGUUUUCAUGCCAUGACCACUGGGACGGAAACCAUUAUGACAUUGCCUUGGACAUCAAACUAAACCAUCUCAUUCUGGCUUUUGAGGUGGAUUCUAACCUUGAAAUCUCAGAAGGACAGGUCUAAGAUGGAUGCAGCCUCCAUAGGAUGCAACCUUGCAUUUGAGAAGCACCCAUAGAACGGUCAACUUACCCCAUACUCUAACCUGAAUGCAGGGAUCAUAAAACUUUAUCUUUUACCUUAAUUGUUAGAUGGGUGUUGAUACCAAACUUUUUUUCUCGUCUACCCAGGAGAAAGUCAUGGGUUCUGCUGCUAAGGUUGUCAUAAUGUAUGCUUUUUUCCAUUUGUUGCAUUUGGCAAUAAUAUCAAAAGACAUAAAUUCUGAAAGAAAUAAGAUAAUUUUCAAAGCAUUAACAUGAAUAUAAAAGCAUUAAGUCAUUAAUGACCAUCUUUUAUUAUUGUUUAUUUAAAGCGUCUUUUAUUCUGCUUACCUGGCUCUGGUGCUUGGUAGUCUUCUCAAACCUCUGAAUCAAGACCACCAUGAGAGGCCUUCUGAAGACCAUCAUUACGCUUCAGAUCCAGUUGUCUUUACUAUGAGAUAGAACUGAACUGGAGUCUGUGAACUAAUGCUGUGUUCGAGACAACUUGGAUGUUGGAUAUUAUUGACCUCAAACCCGUAAGAAGUCUGGAACAGCAAACAAAGUUGAGUAUCAGACGUUGAACUAUUUUUACAGCACAUAUUUAUGAACAUGAAUGUUAAAUUAUCCAGUAACCAUUUUCUGCCAUAAUUGGCACAAGAGCACAAACUUCUCCUGGCGUCUCAUUAUGUGGUAAACACGCAAAUGUGAUACGUGAUUGACUGGAAUGCAUUGAGGUCGGAGGUAGGAUAUUUAAUGACAUAACAUCAGAAAUCCGAGUUGUCUGUAACACUGCACAAUAUUUCACAGAAUUGUCACCACCUGAUUAUCCUCCCAUGUUUUUAACACAACCAUUGAUUGGUCACAAAAAAAAGAAAUCUAUAUUUAAUGUUAAAAAACACUUACUGUGUUAGAUAACUCUGCUCUUGGAAGUCAGCUUAAGUGAACAAAUGGUAAUGUUAAUGAAAAGUUCAUUUUUGUCACAGUUGCAAACUAACAACCACACAAAAUAUGAAGAAUAGCCAGAACUGUGGUAAUAAGCUAGCCCUAAAAUGUUGUGAGAAUCUUGAUGUAUUGGACACAGGUGUGUAGUAUCUGUUAUUUAUACCACGGGUCUGUUGAAUGCUGUAUUCUGAUUGGCUGAGAAAUGUUCCGUGGGUAUGCAUUAAUUUCUGAUAACCACACACCUAACUUGUCAAAUGUCUUAAAAAUAGGCACCAGAGCAAUGUUUGUGGUAACCGUGGUAUUAGAGGAAUAAUUGACUCCGGUCCUUUGAAUUAUUUGAAAUAAAGCACACCCGCAGUGUAACGGCACUCCGCUUCGCAUCGUGCCGCAUUGCACCUUGGGUGUGCAUUAUUUUCUUAUAAUUCAAUGGCCCGUCGUCAGUUAUUCCUUACAUAUUGACGGUUGACAGGUUUGUUUGCAUGUAAUUGCAUUAUUAUUAAUUUGGGGUUGAUAGUCCAAUGUCGAUUUUUUUUCUUUUUCUUUUUAGAUCAUUUCUCUUUUUAAUGCAGAACUUAAGGAUGAACCACCCUGAUCUACUAAGAUGCACAGAUUCAACUCUGGCCCAGCAUCAUCCCCACACCUCAUCUGCCAUCAGUUUAAUUUAAUGUCUGUCAAUUGCAAAUGCUAUUUAUUUCAGUUAUAUUACAACUUAAUUUUAAUUGUGUAAAGCUGGGGUUUCCAAACUUUUCAUUUCAAAACCUAUUAGACAAGUGUAAUCUAUUCUAGACCCACUAAAAUAUUUUUAAAUAUACAUUUUUUUAAUGGGGUAAAACACAUUUGUUCUCUUUCAGUGGAGUCAUUUUAUUUUCAUAAUAUUUCAUAAUGUAAAGCAGUGGUUCUUAAUGUUAUUCCUCGAAGCCCAGUGCUCUGCACAUUUUGUAUGACUCUUUUAUCUGACAGACUCAGUUCAGUUCAUUGAGAUCUCUUCUAAUGAGCUGAUGAUUUGAAUCAGGUGUGUUAAAUAAGGGAGACAUACAAAAUGUGCAGGGCAGUCUGCCUCGAGGAAUAACGUUAAGAACCACUGAUGUAAAGUUAAUAUAAGUUUAUUUGCAAAACCAAAUAUUUUAUGGUAUAUUCUUUCAAAACCAUUGUCAUAGUUAAUUAUUAAUUUGGCCAAACUGUUGUUGCAUAAUUAAGGUGUGCAACACACCUUAACCUACUGUGUGACGGACAAGUGGGUCCUCCUGACACACAAUUUAAAAUCCCCUGGUGUACCGAAUGUUGUAUUGUAAUUAAAGUUGCAUCUAAGUCUUGUGUAA
This is a non-coding RNA of Misgurnus anguillicaudatus (oriental weatherfish), 3812 nucleotides long. The record is from RefSeq and is a predicted model, not a curated record. NCBI's taxonomy places the organism in Eukaryota, Metazoa, Chordata, Actinopteri, Cypriniformes, Cobitidae.